UGGUAGGGGGCUGGUACGGGUGUAAAUGAGCUGAGCUUUUGGUUGUUCAUACUUGGUUCGUUGAUAUUGAUCCAGGCUCGAGCUCGUGCUAGGUUCGAGCUUUAACAUUAAGGUUCGAGUUCGGCUCGUUUGAAAUAUGUUAAAUUUGAGCCCGAUUCGAGCUCGACUCAUUUUAAGUUUGUUUAUUACAUUAACGAGCUAAGCUCGAGCUCGAGCUCGGCUCGUGCCAAACUUGAUAAACUCAUUAAAACGAACUCGAACACAAGCUCGAUAAGGUCAAGGUUGGUUCGAGUUCGAUAAGCUCGAUCUCAAAUUCAAUAAGUUCGAGCUGGAGCUCGAGCUUGAAUUUGAGUUCAAUAAGCUCGAGCUCGAUUAUUAUUAUAUCUAUUUUACACAUGGUAGGGGGCUGGUACGGGUGUAAAUGAGCUGAGCUUUUGGUUGUUCAUACUUGGUUCGUUGAUAUUGAUCCAGGCUCGAGCUCGUGCUAGGUUCGAGCUUUAACAUUAAGGUUCGAGUUCGGCUCGUUUGAAAUAUGUUAAAUUUGAGCCCGAUUCGAGCUCGACUCAUUUUAAGUUUGUUUAUUACAUUAACGAGCUAAGCUCGAGCUCGAGCUCGGCUCGUGCCAAACUUGAUAAACUCAUUAAAACGAACUCGAACACAAGCUCGAUAAGGUCAAGGUUGGUUCGAGUUCGAUAAGCUCGAUCUCAAAUUCAAUAAGUUCGAGCUGGAGCUCGAGCUUGAAUUUGAGUUCAAUAAGCUCGAGCUCGAUUAUUAUUAUAUCUAUUUUACACA
RNAcentral lists this unclassified non-coding RNA (792 nucleotides) under Hevea brasiliensis (rubber tree). The record is from RNAcentral. Lineage: Eukaryota; Viridiplantae; Streptophyta; Magnoliopsida; Malpighiales; Euphorbiaceae.